GACGAACGCUGGCGGCGUGCUUAACACAUGCAAGUCGAACGGAAAGGCCCUGCUUUUGUGGGUUGCUCGAGUGGCGAACGGGUGAGUAACACGUGAGUAACCUGCCCUUGACUUUGGGAUAACUUCAGGAAACUGGGGCUAUUACCGGAUAUGAGCUUCUGCUGCAUGUUGGGGGUUGGAAAGUUUCGGCGGUUGGGGAUGGACUCGCGGCUUAUCAGCUUGUUUGUGGGGUAGUGGCUUACCAAGGCUUUGACGGGUAGCCGGCCUGAGAGGGUGACCGGCCACAUUGGGACUGAGAUACGGCCCAGACUCCUACGGGAGGCAGCAGGGGGGAAUAUUGCACAAUGGGCGGAAGCCUGAUGCAGCAACGCCGCGUGCGGGAUGACGGCCUUCGGGUGGUAAACCGCUUUCGCCUGUGACGAAGCGUGAGUGACGGUAAUGGGUAAAGAAGCACCGGCUAACUACGUG
RNAcentral lists this ribosomal RNA (468 nucleotides) under uncultured bacterium. RNAcentral describes it as "partial 16S ribosomal RNA". It matches the Rfam family "Bacterial small subunit ribosomal RNA", at positions 28 to 507 of the family's 1533-position model. The record is from RNAcentral.